GUGUUCUCACUUUUAGUUUUAUAAUUAGAAGUUAAUUAACUUUUUAAUUGUUGUUGCGGUGUAUUUGUUACUGAGCGUGUCGUAAAGCAUCGGCAUAUUAACGUUACUGAGGUGAAGUUAGCAGCUGUAAGAACGUUAAAUCUGAGGUACAAUGUGUUUAGAGUACUUUAUGCCUUCAACAGGAGCUGGCAGAGUAAAUGGGUGCGUUUACAUGCACCCUCUUAAUGCGAUUAUGAUGCGAUUUUGGCUAUAUUGCGAUUAAUCUUUACCUCAUGUAAACGCAAUACUUCGAUCUAAAUAAUACGAUUAAGCUCAUAAUCACAGCAAGCAUAAUCGUAUUAACAUAGGUGGCAUACGCCGAUUUUAAUCGAAAUACACAGGCAUGUAAACACCUUAAUCGCAGUAUUGCAGCUCUGACCAAAGUGCGCAUGCGCUUGUGACAUAUGAAUAACGUGACACGCACCUGUAAUAAUACGGAGAUUAGAAACGAUGGAGGGGAAGAAAGCAUCGCAUUCUGAGGAAAACACAACAAGCUGCCAGCAGUCUCUGUUCCUUACCCUCAUCCAGAAACGGCGAGUAGAACGCGACGGCAGCGUAUAAUCAAACUAAUUCUAUCACAUUUCUAUGGCGCCGAAAAAGCGUGGAAUACAGCCAUACAAAAUCAUUAUGCAUUAGACGUAAAUAAAUUAAAACCGCGACCAACACUGCUCUUUCUUAUUAUUCGCUAAGAAUUGUGGUUAAUUUUUUUUUACUGCCAUUAUUCACAUACCCCACUGGACUUUUUCGGCGCCAUGAUAGAAAUAUGAUGGAAUUUGUUUGCCUAUACGCUGCCGUCGCGUUCUGUUCGUCCUUUCUUUUGUUUUCUUUUCUAAUGACAGGUCUAAUUGCUGCUGUACUGUACACCCCAAGCACCCCCUGCAUUCUUAUCAUGGAUUGCUGUCAUUCAAGAAGUUAUCAUUUCCUCCCAUUGUGGCUGAGCUACACAUUCUCUUUGUUUUAUUUUAAACAUAAAAAAUCCAGAGGAGAUGGCACCUACGCUGGAAUCCAUACAAAUUCUUCCUGUGAAGAAAUCCUGAACGAGGGUCAAAGGUUGAGAUGAUGGGAACCUACGCUUCCAAGACUUUUAGAAUCCAUGUACAAUUUGAGCUUUUUUCAGAUCUCAACAUGGAACUUGGACUGAACAUGCAGAAAAAAAGGAGUUUCCACAAACUGGCACAUGGCAAGAGAUACUAAAAGCACACAAGUUUAGUUUAGUAUAGUUGUAUAGUAUAGUUUCACAUUGAAAUGUGAGGCAUGAGUGCAGGAAUCUUUGUUUUUUUUAUUUUCAAAUGCUGUACAAGAAAGUAUUUUUUGCAGUACCAUGUCAAUUGUAGAUGCAGAUAAUUUAGCAUGAAUUAGAGGUUAGUAAUCUAACUUAAAGGUUUAGUUCACCCAAAAUGUUAUAUGAAAAAUCUUGUUCCAAUCCUGUUAGACAUUUGUUCAUUUUUGGAACACUAAUGAAGAUCCUUUAUAAUGAAAUCUGACAGCUAUACCUUAUUGGACCUUGAAAUGGUAGUUGUCAAUGGAGGGACAGAAAGCAAAAAAUACUAAAAUUUAAAAAUACUCUUUGUUUGUGUUCCAAAGAUGAAUGAAAAUCUUAUGGAUUUGGAACGGUAUGAGGGUGAGUAACUGAUGACAGAAUUCACAUUUUUGGGUGAACUGUCCUUUUAAAUAAUAUUGUGUUUUUCUAUGCAGAUGUUAAAUGGUGUGAACACUGGAACAUUUCACUUGACUAUUGACUGUAAGUCUAUAGCAAUUGUUAUUAAUGACAGCCCUGUCUUUGUAUUAAUUUAUUUCCCCCAUGUAUUUGAAAAUAUUUUGAAUCUUGACUGUUUCACAAUGAAGUUUAUCUUUGUGACCACUAUUUGGAGCAACACCAAUAUUGUACAUGUUAAGUACCUGCUCAUGUUUUCUUUUUUCUGCAUGUUGCUGUUUAAAACUAAAAAGUGUUCCACAAUACAAGCAUUUUCAGUGGUGCUUUACACAUUGUUAAAUUAAUUGAUGUAAUAAUAUUUUUGUCUUCACCUGUUUAAGGCAAAUAAAAGCUACUGAACACACUUUUAAGAAUGUUUACAUGAGGUAAAAAUAAACCAUGUUCAAUGUGUAUAUAUUGUGCUGGAUUUAUUUGCUACUAAAGAUAGGCCUAUGCUAUAAUUUUUUAGAAAUUUCUGCAUUAAGGGUUGUCCGUUUAUGGUACAGAAGAAAAUGUAAAUCUACAGAAUUUUCCGUUCUAAUGUUGAAGGAAAAUGUCUGUAAAUUUAACAGAAAAUGUCCUGGUAAUUUUCUGCCAGUACAUUAUCCGUUUUUUUACGGAAUUUUUUUUACAGUGUAACUUAAAAAGUUACAUUUCUGCAUUUUAUAUCACAUUGUUUGCAUAGUUGGCUUUGCUGGAUAAUUAAAUGAAAUCUAAAACUAGCAUUUGGAAGUCAAAUUCAUUUCAGUAAAUUAGUUUAUUCAGUUGGUUCAAAUGUUCAUCUAUGCAUCUGAUGUGUAGAAGUCCCUUCUUGUGUCAUGAAACAAACAUUCAACCUGUUUUCUAUGUCUAAAUGCAUGUUAUUGAUCUUAUUGUGAAAGAUACAUUCAUGUAUACUUAGAAUUUUUUUUAUUUAUGUAUUUAAUUUUUUUUAAAAAUAGCACAGCUCAAUCUUUAGGCGAAAAACGUCAGACUUCUCUCUUUGGUGAUGUUUUGUGAACUUCUCCAGUCUUUUAGUCCAUUUAAACCCGUCCCUGUAAACUCACGUUAAUCUAUGUAGCUUCUGCGAUGGGGCCACAUGGAUACGUGGUUUAAAAUCACUGUUUAACAUCCAAAUAUUUUAUAUGCAACUUCACUACUUCUGAUUGUAAGCAACAUUCCAAAUGAAGCCCUAACAAGGCCAACGAACAGAUUAAUUUUAUUUUUUUUUACUAAACUAUUUCCCGUUGUUUUAUUUUCCCAUGGGAUCAUGGGUUGUCAAUCCUUUGUGACUAAUGUACAGAAUUCUGUCAAUACUGAAAAUCCUCUUAUAAACAAUGUCUCUAUCUCCACUUUCGCUCUUCUUCCCUGAGGGGCAUUCUGGUGAUGGGAGCAUAAGCCAAGGUUAACUAGUGCAAACAGAGGGUCCCAUGGGAAACCAUGUUCUCCCACUGCAGCCCAAUAGUGUUUGUAAAUCAUGUCUUUAGGGACAAGUCCAAAAAAACAAUACAGUACGUAGGGAAAGACAUAUUCUUGUUUAUAAAGGGUCAAAUGGUGUCAAGACUAGCAGAUAACAGCAAACAUGAUCUAUAAUUAUUUUUAAAAUUAAGUCUUUUUUUUUUUUUUUUUUGUGAAGCAAAUAAAACCACAGGUCUGAUUAUCAGCAAUGAGAACUUUCCUAACUCUGCUUCUAUUA
Long non-coding RNA from Onychostoma macrolepis, 3407 nucleotides. RefSeq lists it as uncharacterized. Lineage: Eukaryota; Metazoa; Chordata; Actinopteri; Cypriniformes; Cyprinidae. The record is from RefSeq and is a predicted model, not a curated record. The transcript is spliced from 3 exons.